GCAGCAAAAUAUGCCCAGCAGCGGCAACAAAGCACAAUUUCUAUUUUUAUAAACCUUGCCAACAGCAAAAAUGUAUAAAUUUUAGUUCAUCAUAAAUGACUUAAAAAGCACAGGUGCAUCAGUCAGAUGUUGGACUAGCUUCUAUCACUCCGCUGAAUGAAACUUUAUGAAUCAUCAACACAAUAAUCUCCUAAAUUAGGCAAGGUGCUGCAACCUUUCAUAGUCCAAUUCCAGUUGCAGCAAGCAUGAAAUGAGAUACAAAUAAUGACUUAUUUGUUCUGUUCCACUGCUACUGAACAAAAUAUAUUUUAACUGGCAAGCAACUACUGCCUCCUUCUUCUUUAAACGAUGCCAAGUAUCAUGAAUGGCUCUUUGCCUAAUAUUAUGGAAGAUCCGGUGCCUUUGUAUAACCCUCGUGAAGUUGGCUUGUGAAGCCAUGUAUGCCGCAGCAGUCGGAAGCUAGAA
Molecule: unclassified non-coding RNA, 465 nt
Filed under: Hevea brasiliensis (rubber tree)
Lineage: Eukaryota; Viridiplantae; Streptophyta; Magnoliopsida; Malpighiales; Euphorbiaceae
Source: RNAcentral